AGAGCGAACGCUGGCGGCAGGCCUAAUACAUGCAAGUCGAACGGAUCCUUCGGGAUUAGUGGCGGACGGGUGAGUAACACGUGGGAACGUGCCCUUUGGUUCGGAACAACUCAGGGAAACUUGAGCUAAUACCGGAUAAGCCCUUCGGGGGAAAGAUUUAUCGCCAUUGGAGCGGCCCGCGUCUGAUUAGCUAGUUGGUGGGGUAAAGGCCUACCAAGGCUACGAUCAGUAGCUGGUCUGAGAGGAUGAUCAGCCACACUGGGACUGAGACACGGCCCAGACUCCUACGGGAGGCAGCAGUAGGGAAUCUUGCGCAAUGGGCGAAAGCCUGACGCAGCCAUGCCGCGUGAAUGAUGAAGGUCUUAGGAUUGUAAAAUUCUUUCAGCGGGGACGAUAAUGACGGUACCCGCAGAAGAAGCCCGGCUAACUUCGCGCCAGCAGCCGC
RNAcentral lists this ribosomal RNA (445 nucleotides) under uncultured bacterium. RNAcentral describes it as "SSU rRNA". It matches the Rfam family "Bacterial small subunit ribosomal RNA", at positions 26 to 518 of the family's 1533-position model. The record is from RNAcentral.